Molecule: long non-coding RNA, 1583 nt
Organism: Vanessa atalanta (red admiral)
Lineage: Eukaryota; Metazoa; Arthropoda; Insecta; Lepidoptera; Nymphalidae
Exons: 3
Source: RefSeq, a predicted model, not a curated record
GUGAGACGUGCAUGUUAGUAUUAUUAUUUGUUUGUUCUGCGUUUAUUUAAUGAACAAGACAAGUGAGACCCAGAAAAAAAUAAAACAAAAAAAAAAAAAAAUUGUUGGACGUUGAAGUCGAUGACUACCCAACGAUAAAAUCAAAUAGGUAACAAUACCUCGUUAUUAGCGGCAGUUUUCUCAGCAUAGCUAACAUAUAGUCGAUGGAACAACACGAUGCAGGCAACGGAGCCAUACCAUUAAGGAUCCGAAGCGGAGGGGGGAUGUUGUUCCAACACUUCGUUGCCGCGUAACGAAAACUGCCGCGGAAUGCUGCUGUGCGGUGAGCCGGCACGUUCAGCAUAUAAGAAGACGCUCUCGUUUGGUAACUUCUAUUACUUUCGUGGGCCCAACUUAGUUUGCUGUACAAAUAUAUAGGCGUUUUAUUUUUAAUAAUACCAAAUAACAAGGUGGCAAAGUGUAAUUGUCUGCGGUAUUCCAUCUUCGCCAUUCGGGCACUGUUAAUAUAUGGGGUAACAUGUGUGCGAGGCGGUAUUUUGUAGCAGUACCUAAUACAUGCAUUCUGUAUACGCUGAAUAAGAUUUUUUGUGCGAGCGAGUAGUCUGGGCCCGAUGACCGCAUCAGCAUAAUUAAACUUUGAAAGAACUAGAGUGUCACAUAACUUUAUACGCAUAUCCUUACUUAGAACAUCUCGGAUCUGAUACAAAACUUUUAAUCUAUAGAAACAAUUGCGAGCUGUAUUUAUAGUGUGUUUUUCAAAGGUUAAUCGCUCGUCGAUCAACAAGCCCAAACUUCUCGCUUCUGUGACACGUUCAAUUCUCUCGCCUUUAAUAUGCACAAAUGGGUUUAGGUCAUUAAUUAGAUUCACCUGGUUUUUUGUUCCUAAUAAUAUAUAUUUAGUCUUGCUCGGAUUUAAAAUAAGACUAUGUGAAUCUGACCAUUCGGAAAUGCGCUGAAGAUCGUCAUUUAAAUUUUGUAUAGCUAAAUUUAUUUCUGAGUUUUUAAAUGAUAUGUAAAUUUGUAUAUCGUCAGCAUAUAUGUGAUAUUUACAAUGUUUUAUACUUUUCACUAUAUCGGCACAGUAUAGCGCAAAAAUGACAGGCCCUAAUAUUGAUCCUUGAGGAACACCUCUGUUAACGGAGCAACAAUCAGAGAGAGCUCUUGACCCAUCCUCAUUUAUUACUUCUACAAUUUGCUUACGAUUUCCUAAAUAACUCGAAAACCACUCAAUUGUGUCAAGACUGAACCCGUAAUAUUUUAAUUUAGAUAAUAGUAAUGACCUAUUGAUUGUGUCAAAGGCACGCGAGAAAUCCAAUAAAACAAGGAUUGUACCCUCACCCACGUCCUGAGCACACAAAACAUUGUCAAUUACAUCUAACAACGCGGUAGUAGUGCUGUGAUGUUUGCGAAACCCCGACUGUCUAUCAGGUAAAAUAUUUUGAGACUCUAGGUAUGCAGUUAAUUGGUUACACACUAUUCUCUCCAAUAUCUUCGAAAUGCAUGGUAAUAUGCUUAUAGGACGAAGAUCUUUAAUUUCAGUAACAUUAUCUUUCUUGGGUAAAGGUCUUACCAGAGCCGUCUGC